GGCUGGUCUGAGUGCAAUGUUGUUUACAGCGAAUUGAUCACAAUCAGUUAUGGAUUUCUAUGUUCCUCCUCCGCUCCCAUUGCUUCACUUGACUAGCCUUUA
This is an unclassified non-coding RNA of Cebus imitator (Panamanian white-faced capuchin), 102 nucleotides long. It matches the Rfam family "Y RNA". From Rfam's summary of the family: Y RNAs are components of the Ro ribonucleoprotein particle (Ro RNP), in association with Ro60 and La proteins. The Y RNAs and Ro60 and La proteins are well conserved, but the function of the Ro RNP is not known. In humans the RNA component can be one of four small RNAs -- hY1, hY3, hY4 and hY5. Lineage: Eukaryota; Metazoa; Chordata; Mammalia; Primates; Cebidae. The record is from Ensembl.